AGUGAACGCUGGCGGUAGGCCUAACACAUGCAAGUCGAACGGCAGCACAGGAGAGCUUGCUCUCUGGGUGGCGAGUGGCGGACGGGUGAGGAAUACAUCGGAAUCUACUUUUUCGUGGGGGAUAACGUAGGGAAACUUACGCUAAUACCGCAUACGACCUACGGGUGAAAGCAGGGGACCUUCGGGCCUUGCGCGAUUGAAUGAGCCGAUGUCGGAUUAGCUAGUUGGCGGGGUAAAGGCCCACCAAGGCGACGAUCCGUAGCUGGUCUGGGAGGAUGAUCAGCCACACUGGAACUGAGACACGGUCCAGACUCCUACGGGAGGCAGCAGUGGGGAAUAUUGGACAAUGGGCGCAAGCCUGAUCCAGCCGUACCGCGUGGGUGAAGAAGGCCUUCGGGUUGUAAAGCCCUUUUGUUGGGAAAGAAAUCCAGCUGGCUAAUACCCGGUUGGGAUGACGGUACCCAAAGAAUAAGCACCGGCUAACUUCGUGCCAGCAGCCGCAGUAA
Molecule: ribosomal RNA, 506 nt
Filed under: uncultured bacterium
Lineage: Bacteria
Description: partial 16S ribosomal RNA
Rfam family: Bacterial small subunit ribosomal RNA
Source: RNAcentral